UGGGGAAUAUUGCACAAUGGGCGCAAGCCUGAUGCAGCCAUGCCGCGUGUGUGAAGAAGGCCUUCGGGUUGUAAAGCACUUUCAGCGGGGAGGAAGGCGAUAAGGUUAAUAACCUUGUCGAUUGACGUUACCCGCAGAAGAAGCACCGGCUAACUCCGUGCCAGCAGCCGCGGUAAUACGGAGGGUGCAAGCGUUAAUCGGAAUUACUGGGCGUAAAGCGCACGCAGGCGGUCUGUCAAGUCGGAUGUGAAAUCCCCGGGCUCAACCUGGGAGCUGCAUUCGAAACUGGCAGGCUAGAGUCUUGUAGAGGGGGGUAGAAUUCCAGGUGUAGCGGUGAAAUGCGUAGAGAUCUGGAGGAAUACCGGUGGCGAAGGCGGCCCCCUGGACAAAGACUGACGCUCAGGUGCGAAAGCGUGGGGAGCAAACAGG
RNAcentral lists this ribosomal RNA (429 nucleotides) under Chloroflexota bacterium. RNAcentral describes it as "Chloroflexi bacterium partial 16S ribosomal RNA". It matches the Rfam family "Bacterial small subunit ribosomal RNA", at positions 355 to 776 of the family's 1533-position model. The record is from RNAcentral. Lineage: Bacteria; Bacillati; Chloroflexota.